AGUGAACGCUGGCGGUAGGCCUAACACAUGCAAGUCGAACGGCAGCACAGUAAGAGCUUGCUCUUACGGGUGGCGAGUGGCGGACGGGUGAGGAAUACAUCGGAAUCUACUUUUUCGUGGGGGAUAACGUAGGGAAACUUACGCUAAUACCGCAUACGACCUACGGGUGAAAGCAGGGGAUCUUCGGACCUUGCGCGAUUGAAUGAGCCGAUGUCGGAUUAGCUAGUUGGCGGGGUAAAGGCCCACCAAGGCGACGAUCCGUAGCUGGUCUGAGAGGAUGAUCAGCCACACUGGAACUGAGACACGGUCCAGGCUCCUACGGGAGGCAGCAGUGGGGAAUAUUGGACAAUGGGCGGAAGCCUGAUCCAGCCGUACCGCGUGGGUGAAGAAGGCCUUCGGGUUGUAAAGCCCUUUUGUUGGGAAAGAAAAGCAGCAGGUUAAUACCCCGCCGUUCUGACGGUACCCAAAGAAUAAGCACCGGCUAACUUCGUG
Molecule: ribosomal RNA, 492 nt
Filed under: uncultured bacterium
Lineage: Bacteria
Description: partial 16S ribosomal RNA
Rfam family: Bacterial small subunit ribosomal RNA
Source: RNAcentral